This 78-nucleotide ribozyme is filed under the name Crocodylus porosus (Australian saltwater crocodile). Its description in RNAcentral is "Mammalian CPEB3 ribozyme (ENSCPRG00005008908.1)". It matches the Rfam family "Mammalian CPEB3 ribozyme". Rfam says of the family: The mammalian CPEB3 ribozyme is a self cleaving RNA located in the second intron of the CPEB3 gene which belongs to a family of genes regulating messenger RNA polyadenylation. This ribozyme is highly conserved and found only in mammals. The record is from Rfam by way of RNAcentral. Lineage: Eukaryota; Metazoa; Chordata; Crocodylia; Crocodylidae.
AGAUCAUAAGUUUGAGGCCAUAGCAGAAGUGCUCAUGGAGUGGCCCAGUUAGAUCCCAAAGAAUCUACAAAUUCUGCU